UGGGGAAUAUUGCACAAUGGGCGAAAGCCUGAUGCAGCGACGCCGCGUGAGGGAUGACGGCCUUCGGGUUGUAAACCUCUUUCAGUAGGGACGAAGCGCAAGUGACGGUACCUGCAGAAGAAGCACCGGCUAACUACGUGCCAGCAGCCGCGGUAAUACGUAGGGUGCGAGCGUUGUCCGGAAUUACUGGGCGUAAAGAGCUCGUAGGCGGUUUGUCACGUCGUCUGUUAAAUCCUAGGGCUUAACCCUGGACGUGCAGGCGAUACGGGCUGACUUGAGUACUACAGGGGAGACUGGAAUUUCUGGUGUAGCGGUGGAAUGCACAGAUAUCAGGAAGAACACCGAUGGCGAAGGCAGGUCUCUGGGUAGUAACUGACGCUGAGGAGCGAAAGCAUGGGUAGCGAACAGG
Molecule: ribosomal RNA, 409 nt
Filed under: bacterium
Lineage: Bacteria
Description: partial 16S ribosomal RNA
Rfam family: Bacterial small subunit ribosomal RNA
Source: RNAcentral